ACUGCAUUGGGCGAAGGGAGAAAGGUGCGAAAGGUGAGCAAGGUGCGAAAGCUGCUAACUGAGGUGCUGAUUACCCAUCGCCAUGGCAGCCAUUUAUCCUGCAGGACAAUGGGAAGUGGGAAAGCUGGAAAAGCGCUGGCGGAAAAGUAUGGGCAACCACUCAGCUCAAUUAAAAAAUCGUUAAAGGAUAAACAAGUGCUUUUCCGUUUCACAAAUACGUUAUAGCUCUUUUAGACGGGAGAGUCAAGUGGUUCCCAUCAUCAAUUAAACUGAUACCAUACGAAAAUACUAGAAAGCCAGCAGUUAUGUGAACUGUAAAGAAUUGCUAAAUACCCUGGAAUAUAAUCUAUGAAAUAUCGAGUAGUUUUGAAAACAGCAGCCUGAGUCGCUUCCCUCAAAUUCCUGAUCCAAAAUGUAUAUAUUUCCACCAUAUACCCUGCUCCUGAUCAUCCUCCGCAUUAUGAGUGUCCGCACUAUGAGCUUCGACCUGCCCCACAACGGUCACGACGCCUCCCUGGCUAGCUAUCUGGACAACAUCAACGAUGACGUAUCUACCCAGAGCCUCAACUGCGAUGGGAACGGCAGUUCGGGGGUCACAGUGAUGCCAUUGCCUUAUCUGGGAUGCACCACUGGAGGCGAAAACAUGGACGAUCGGGAUCGAGGCCGCGAUUGGGAUAGAAAUACAGCCAGGGAUCUGGACAAAGACAGGAAUAAAAAUAGAGAUAGGGACAACUGUGACUCCUGUGACAGCGAUAUGUUCAAUUCGCGGCUGAAGGCCACCCACAUUGCCCAGAAUGCCGCCCAGGUGGCCAAGGCAGCAAAUGAUGCACAGGCGGCCGCCGCCCAUGAUGCAUCGCGGCAGGCGAAGAUGCAGCUGGCGGAAAAGGCCAUCUCCGCCGCCCGUGCUGCCGAUGCCGUGCUCGAGGGCAAGCAGGCCAUGGUGGACAACUACGCUAGGGAGAUCCGGGAUGCCGAGGAGGUGGUCGGACAGGUGCGCUGCUCGCUGGAGAUCAGUGAGACGAACGUGGAGGCCGCCGUUGCCGUAGUCAAAGCAGCGGAGCUUCAAGCCGAAUCAUUCAGGGUCCUGGUGCAACAGACGAGUGGCACUUUGUCGGAAAUGGAAGGCCUAAUCGACCAGGCGAACGUGGAUAUCGAAGAAAAGAAUCUAAUGCUGGCGGCGGCGAAGGCGCGUGGUGACCGCCUGGCCCGCCAGGUGGCGCAGGCCAAGUCGGAGUACGAACAGGUGAGGGAGGCGGCCUGUCGCGCUGCAUCCGCCGCCGUGGAGGCCAAGCAAAAAGUCAGCUCCGCCGCUUUGCUGUGCAAGACGUCGCCUCACCGCCCACCCAAUGCGUGUGGUUACUCACUCGACAGGAACACCUGCAACGCUCUCCUGGAUCUCUACAGGCAGCGCCGACGGCACCAACAGCGACUGCGACGGAAGAUGGUCCUGAACGAACUGGAUCGCUAUCAAGGGCAUUCACUGUACGGGGAUCACUCAUACUAACAAAUGCGCGCCCCACUAACUGAUACCUUCCACGUCUACAAUUAUGUUUUUCUAAACGCUGCGAAUUAUAUUCUCUAUUUGGAUAAGAGUUUCCAGUUUUUUCAACAGUUUAAGGGUAUUACUUCUUUUUGAGCGUAAAUAUUAGAUCGAAGCUAUUUAGGCUUGCACAUACAAAUGUCUUCAUUAAUGUAUGGUCAGCGAUGUACAUACAAAAAAUGUUCCUCAUAUCAAGUGACCACCGUAGCUGCCUCAAUACACAAUUGUUUACCAACAAAUUCGCCCGACAGUGUCGUAAUUCUUGCGAAAUAAACAAUAACA
Molecule: RNA transcript, 1822 nt
Organism: Drosophila mauritiana
Lineage: Eukaryota; Metazoa; Arthropoda; Insecta; Diptera; Drosophilidae
Exons: 3
Source: RefSeq, a predicted model, not a curated record